UUCUUUGAAAUUUCAGAUUUCUGGUCAUGGU
This 31-nucleotide non-coding RNA is filed under the name Rattus norvegicus (Norway rat). Lineage: Eukaryota; Metazoa; Chordata; Mammalia; Rodentia; Muridae. The record is from RNAcentral.